CGUGCACGCCGCCACGAAACAUCUCAUUAGCGUCAUUGUGUACGGAGUCCAGUGCCGGAGAACGUCGCGGACGACGGCGCAGCGUCGUCGGGGGGUCGUUGUCGUUGGGGGGAAUUCGCCGUCCUCCCAAGAACGGAGGAAAUUGCACGUCAGCGCGACGGAAGGCACCACCCGCGGCGCGUCGUGAUUCCCGGCACAGGAGUGUCCCGGGUGAAGAACGUGAGAGAGGAACCAACAUCACGAGAUGCGGGCCGCCAGCCGGACGAGGGAAUAUGUGUAAGACACGACGGUUGUUUGUUGGACCGCGACGUGGGGCACCGGGAAUUAGGACGCCGGAGGAGGUGAAAUACACCCGGAGUAUUUGAGAAGAUAAUCAACGUCGAUUCCUGUCUAUUUUCGAGAAAGGAAAUUGUCAAUCUUUGAGAAAGACUUUGAGUAAGAAGCAAAAAAUAACAUCUGUUGUUAUUUCCUUUGUUGGCGGACAGCUGUACAUAAAGAUACUGUUGUCAGUUGAAUUGAAUAAGAAAUAAAAUUAAAUUAAACUUAAA
Molecule: long non-coding RNA, 548 nt
Organism: Onthophagus taurus
Lineage: Eukaryota; Metazoa; Arthropoda; Insecta; Coleoptera; Scarabaeidae
Source: RefSeq, a predicted model, not a curated record